GUAGGGAAUAUUGGGCAAUGGUCGGAAGACUGACCCAGCCAUGCCGCGUGCAGGAAGACGGCCCUCUGGGUUGUAAACUGCUUUUAUCUGGGAAGAAAAAGGCCAUGCGUGGCAAAUUGCCGGUACCAGAUGAAUAAGCACCGGCUAACUCCGUGCCAGCAGCCGCGGUAAUACGGAGGGUGCAAGCGUUGUCCGGAUUUAUUGGGUUUAAAGGGUGCGUAGGCGGCUGAUUAAGUCAGCGGUGAAAGACUCCGGCUUAACCGGAGCAGUGCCGUUGAUACUGGUUAGCUUGAGUGUUGGAGGGGUACAUGGAAUUGAUGGUGUAGCGGUGAAAUGCAUAGAUACCAUCAGGAACACCGAUAGCGAAGGCAUUGUACUGGCCAACAACUGACGCUGAUGCACGAAAGUGUGGGGAUCGAACAGGAUUAGAUACCCUAGUAGUCC
RNAcentral lists this ribosomal RNA (444 nucleotides) under uncultured bacterium. RNAcentral describes it as "bacterial SSU rRNA". It matches the Rfam family "Bacterial small subunit ribosomal RNA", at positions 354 to 796 of the family's 1533-position model. The record is from RNAcentral.